AUGCUCCAUUUUCAACAAAAUCUUCACGCCAAGCCUUUAAUGUUAUUCAAGCUUCAUUAUAUGUCUUCAUUUCCUUCAAGUCCCUUCACCUUGUUUCAUCACAUCAAUUCAACAUCCAUAAAUAAUCCAAAACAGAUGGCAAAAAUUAAACAUAACCAUGUACACAAUGCAGCCCUACAAAAUCAUCGACAAACUAGAUGCCAAAUCACAACAAAACACGUCCAAUUCAUAUAA
Molecule: non-coding RNA, 234 nt
Organism: Vicia faba (fava bean)
Lineage: Eukaryota; Viridiplantae; Streptophyta; Magnoliopsida; Fabales; Fabaceae
Source: the annotation of a GenBank genome assembly